Non-coding RNA from Pelobates cultripes (western spadefoot toad), 1048 nucleotides. Lineage: Eukaryota; Metazoa; Chordata; Amphibia; Anura; Pelobatidae. The record is from the annotation of a GenBank genome assembly.
GUGCAGUGUAUAAAAAAAAUAUAUAUAUAAAAAGCCUCAAUAGGCUAAAGACCCAUAGGUAUAGCAGCUCAAUAUAACAUGAUACUAUGUUAAAUAAAAAAGUGCAAGUGCUAGAGUGUUUUAUCGGAGAAACCCAGUGGUUUUUUUUAAAUGUGGAAGGUGCACUACAUGCAAAUUCCAGAAAAAUAAAGUUACGGAAUUUUGCAGUACAGUGACCAAAGAAACCUUUAAAAUUAAGCACUUUAUUAAUGGUCAAAGAAAAUUUGUGGUUUAUUUGUUACAAUGUAAAUGUAGUGUUCAAUACGUAGGACGUACGAUUAGAAAACUACACGUAAGAUUACUAGAACAUUUUAAUGGGAUUAAGAAUAAGAAUGUGAAGCAUAGUGUACCUAAACACUGCAAUGUUUGUAAGGAGUUUGAUUUUAAAGAUUUUAUCUGUAUUGGGAUUGAUAAAAUUAUACCACAUUGGAGGGGUGGGGAUACUGAAAAAAUGUUAGGGAGACAGAAUGAAUAUACAAAAUGAAAUCCUCUGUCCCCUCAGGACUUAAUAUGGAUCUGGAUAUAUUGGCUUUUAUGGAUUGAUUGAUUCUGUAUUAACCUCUUUUUAUCUCUCAUUUUAUUCAUUUUUUAUGUAUAUAAUUUUAUUAUUAUUGCAUUUUUCUCCUGUGUAUUUUAAUACAUAAUUUUGAAUAUAUGUUUUAAUAUAUAUCUUUUGAAUUUUUAGAUGUUUUAUGCCUACACUGUCUAAUACUAUUUGUUUAUAGAUAUGUACCAUACUAUGGUCUUUGUGAUUUACAAUUUUACAUAUUUGCUAUUGUGCAAUUGUGUGUGUGUGUGUGUGUGUAUGUGUGUGUGUGUAUGUGUGUGUAUAUAUAUUUAUUAUUUGAUCUUAUGAUAUACCCCUAUUGUUGAUAUUUCCACCUCUCAAGUCUGUAGAUGUAUGGUUAGAUUGUUACCAUAAUGUAUAUAUGAUUAUGAAUUUAUGUAUUUUAUGUAUAUCUAUAUUAUACAUUUGGAAUAUAAAUGGACUUUUUUAAUUAAAUUUUUU